Molecule: transfer RNA, 91 nt
Filed under: Lasiosphaeria miniovina
Lineage: Eukaryota; Fungi; Ascomycota; Sordariomycetes; Sordariales; Lasiosphaeriaceae
Rfam family: tRNA
About the family: Transfer RNA (tRNA) molecules are approximately 80 nucleotides in length. Their secondary structure includes four short double-helical elements and three loops (D, anti-codon, and T loops).
Source: Rfam by way of RNAcentral
GCGGAUAUAGCUCAGCUGGGAGAGCGUCAGACUGAAGCCCAACUUCAGCAUCUCAAUCUGAAGGUCAAGUGUUCGAUCCACUUUAGCCGCA